CCUCACAAUGGUGGGUGGACCUAUCAGUGAUUGUGUGGUCUAAACCACUGAGCCUCUUGGGCUCAGAAGGUCAGCAGUUCGGAUCCCCGUGAGGAGGUGCGCUCCCGUUGCUCUGUCCCAACUCCUGCCAACCUAGCAGUCUGAAAGCACACCAGAGCAAGUAGAUAAAUAGGUACUGCUGCAGCGGGAAGGUAAGUGGCGUUUCCAUGUGCUCUGGUUUCCGAAAUGGUAUCCCAUUGUGCCAGAAGCAGUUUAGUCAUGCUGGCUACAUGACCCAGAAAGCUGUCUGUGGACAAACACCGGCUCCUUCAGCCUGAAAGCGAGAUGAGCGCCACAACCCUAUAGUCACCUUUGACUGGACUUAACCGUCCAGGGGUCCUUUAAUUUUACCUUUUACCUAAUAUCAGGAAUGAGGAAACCUACUGGGAAAACAAGAUAGAAUCUAGACUGUGCCUGCCCAGGCGCUAGUCACGGUUACUAUCUGUUGCCUCCAGCUUCAGACGCGGGAAGCCUCUCAAUACCAGCUACAGGAGAAGACAAUCAGGUGAGGGCUGCUGUGGUCAUGCCAUGCUUGUGAGAUUUCCAGAGGAAUCUGACUGACCACUGUGAAUACAGAAUUCUGCCCUGACUGGGCCUUUGAUUCGGUUCAGAAGUGGCUUGUCUUAUGUUAUUAGGUGCCAAAGGCUGAGCUAAGGCAUGAAUGAUGAAUUGGCUGUGUUUUCAGCAAUUACUAUCAGCCAGUUGACCCAGUGGAGGAAAACAAUAUUAAUAUCCCUUAUAUGCAAGUACAAUGUGGGAUAUUUUUGCUUAUUAACCUACCAUUCUUCCCAAAGUCUCCAUGAUGCUUUUGAAUGAUUCCCCCAGGUGGUUUCCCACCCAGGUAGCUUACAAGGUCAACCCUGCUUUGAGAGCCAUGUGCAAGAUGGGAGAGAAACUCAGUUCAGCUCCCCAUUAAAAAGGCACCGACAUUCUCCUAAACAAUAUGCGAAUCGAAACACAAACAUCCGACAAAGUUCAGCCUUCUCUGAUUUUUUUCAGUACAGUUCUGCAGCCAAGUAAGGUGUGCAAACAUGCAUAUAUCAGGGGAAGUAAUAUACAAAAAUGUGUUAUAUUGUGGGAAAAUGCUUUGCCAAAAAAAAUGUAUAUUAGGUCAAAUUGCAUACAAACAUGUGUAUACAGUCAUACCUUGGAAGUGGAACGGAACCCGUUCCACUUCCAAAACUUUUGAAAACUAAAUCGCGGCUUCUGAUUGAAUCAGAAGCCGUGGAAGCCCCAUCAGAUGUUCAGGUUCCAAAAGAUCGUUUGCAAACAGGAACAAUCACUUCCGGGUUUGCGGCGUUUGGGAGCGAAAACGCCCGAGUUCCGAGGCGUUUGGGAUCCAAGGUACAACUGUAUUAGGAAGAAUUCACCUCAAAAUGCUGAUGAAUUUUCAAGCAGACUUUUAUAAUAAUAAUAAUAUUAGUAAUAAUAAUAAUAAUAAUAAUAAUACUCUAACUGAUGUGUGAGUGUAUAGAACUAAACUGACUGGUAAAAUGAGAAACUAAGGGAAACUAUAAUGGAAGCAUUUGCCCAUCCCAAGUUGUGUGUUUUAUCUUCAGUCCAGUCAUUAGGCCUCGAGAGCGAUUACGCAUGCAAGUGAAGGACUGCAGAGGACUUUACAUGCUCAAAUGCAUUUGGAAUUAACAACAGCAUCCAAAUCUUAAUAACGAAUCGUACGAAAAAUACAUCCUCUUUUUAUCAUUAUAUUUUUCGACAAAGACUUUUUGCUGUACCACAAAUAGAGAAGAUUUAGCGGACGAAAGUCACAAAUCAUUUGGGAAGCUUCCGUAGGGGGGAAAAAAAGCUAAGUCAAAAGUAUUUCCAUUGACAAGUGAGAGAGAGAAGGACAGGGAGCGAAAAUAGUAUUUUACGCAACUGUUUUUUGUGGUGGAAUACCAGAGGCUCGCUUCUGGGACAUCUGCCGGAUGCAAGGCACCAUUUGUGGGGGGUUGUCACAAUUCAUUUGCCCUCACAAAGCAGAUGACUAAAGCCACAGCCUAGGACCGCAUUUCAGGUAUGGUUAGAUGGAGGGGGAAACACCCAAACCCGGCUCCUACAGAGCUGAUAUCAAUCAAGUUGUCUGUUUCCAUCUGACACGGAUUUUGUGAAAAGCCGAGAAUGCAAAACCAAAGAUGUAUGUGUAUUUUUAUAUAUGCCAUUCUUGUGAGAAAUGGAGGUAUGGCCUUAUCCUUGUGGUACACAUGACCAGAACCACAGCAUCUGCAACUCCUAAUUAUAGGAGAAAUUUGAUUUUGUAAGCAGGUGUGUGUGUGUAUAUGUGUUUAUUAUAUAGAUAUGUACAAAGAUAAAUACAUGAAAACACAUGAAUUAUGUGAAACCGCAGUGGUUCAACAGUCAAAAUUUCAUCCCUGGAAACACCUUUCUUGGCUCCUUAGAGCAGUCAUUUUGUUUUUGUUUCUGCUUCACGGUUGCUUUAUUUUCAGUGCAAAACUUGGAAGCAAAUCCCACUGAACAGCUGCCUCCAUAUGUUGUCUUUUCCAAUCAGCCAUCUGCAAAAGUGAUGGGAAAACUGUGCUCCCCCCCCCCCCCCAAUUAUUGUCGGACUCCAAAUCCCAUCAGUCCUAGCCAGCAUGCUCAGGGAUUAUGGGAGUUCCCUGAUCUACAAGUAUUUUACUUCUCUCCCUGCUCCCCAGCUCCGGUAUAAAUUUGUCUAGUUUGAAGAAGAAAAUGAUCUGCGUUGUCUGUGAUAUUUCAAGGGAGGCUGUUGAAUGUUUUGGCUGCUUGAUCAAACCACAGAAAUUCCUAGCAAAGUGUGUUUUCACUUAAGGAUGAUAUCAGCAAUUCAGCUGAGGACACUUCAAUGUACAUAAGAGGACGAUGUUUGAAGUGCAAAUGCUUUGAUUUGACACAACCGGGAAACAUUUAUGAGACAAUAUUGAGUGAAAUCCUAGUUAGGCUUUGGUUGUUCAGUUGCUUCAGGGAUGAUAGAAUAAUUACAUUAUAUCUUACUUGAAGAUGUAUGGUAUACAGCUGAGAUGAUGCAGCAUAUUAGAUUUUAGCAGGGUGGGACUGCAAAGGUCUGAAAAUAGAGGGACCGGAUAUUGUUUAUAACUCUAAUGCUGCAGAAGAAGAAGAGGAGGAUGAGGAGGAGGAGUUUGGAUUUGAUAUCCCGCUUUAUCACUACCCGAAGGAGUCUCAAAGCAGCUAACAUUCUCCUUUUCCCUUCCUCCCCCACAACAAACACUCUGUGAGGUGAGUGGGGCUGAGAGACUUCAAAGAAGUGUGACUAGCCCAAGGUCACCCAGCAGCUGCAUGUGGAGGAGCGGGGAAGCGAACCCGGUUCACCAGAUUACGAGUUCACUGCUCUUAACCACUACACCACACUGGCUCACAUUUGGGAACCUAUGGCCCUUCAGAUGUUGAUGAACUCCCACCAUCCCUAGCUAGUCUGGAAUAUCACUUGAGUAAUGUUUGUGGAAUUGGUGUUAAAUCUGAAAUAGAGGUCCUACAAACUAAACUUAUGAGGCAGAUUUGGGGGCUUCCCUGCAGGACACCAGCAGCCCACCUCAAAGCUGAGUUGGGCCUUCCCUCUCUAGCAGCCAGAAUUGAUCUAACGUAUCUGAGAUACUGGCACAGGCUAAAUGCCUUCGGGGAUCAUACACUUAACUAAGCCCUGCUGAAAUUUUGGAACAAGACGGAGAUAGACUGAAAUUGCAGAGUUUUGAAAAAUUAAAAAACAAAGUGCGAGACUGGCUUCAUUAUUUUCAGAUAAUGGAGGCAUUUAAAUUGGACAAGAAAAUUGGCUUCCAGGUGGAAAGAUCAAAAUUAGAAACAGAACUGUUAGAACCCAAAACUAAGAAUUUGUCAAGAAUGUAUAACUUGCUGCUGAAAUGGAAUACUCAGGAUGAAACGGUAAAAUCGGCUAUGAUUAAAUGGGCACAGGACAUUGGACAUAACAUUAUGUUUGCUGACUGGGAACAGUUAUGGACCACAGGUAUGAAAUUUACGGCAUGUAAUGCCUUAAGAGAGAAUAUUAUGAAAAUGAUAUACAGGUGGUACAUAACCCCAGUCAAGCUUGCAAAAAUCUAUCAUUUGCUCGAUAACAAAUGUUGGAAAUGUAAAGAAACUGAAGGUACAUUUUUUCACCUUUGGUGGACGUGCCCAAAGAUUAAGGCUUUCUGGGAAAUGAUAUAUAAUGAAUUAAAAAAGGUAUUUAAAUAUACCUUCCCUAAGAAACCAGAGGCCUUUCUCCUGGGUAUAGUCGGCCAAAUGGUGUUAAAAAAGGAUAGAACUUUCUUUAUGUAUGCAACAACAGCAGCAAGAAUACUCAUCACAAAGUAUUGGAAGACACAAGAACUUCCCACGCUGGAGGAAUGGCAGAUGAAACUGAUGGACUAUAUGGAACUGGCGGAAAUGACUGGCAGAAUCCGUGACCAGGGAGAAGAGUUGGUGGAGGAAGAUUGGAAGAAAUUCAAAGAUUAUCUUCAGAAACAUUGCAAAAUUAAAGAAUGUUAGAGUGAUGUUGGAUCGAAAAUAAGUGGUUUCCAGCUGUACAGGUUAAAGUUAUUGAUAGACUAAGAUUAAAGAUUAGGAUUAAAGAUGUUUAAGGAAAUGGAAAUUUGGUACUUAAGAGGUAAAAUUUUAAUGUUAUAUUACAUUAAGAUUAAAGAUUAGGAUUAAAGAAGUUUAAGUGUUAUAUAUUAUAUUAAGAUUAAAGAUUGGGAUUAAAAAGUGGAAAAGAAAUUGCUGGACAAACAAUUUGGACUGGAAUACAAAAGAGGGAGGUAUGAGGAAGUCCAGAAAAUAUGUAAAUUCAAAAACGGAAAUGGAAAAGUGAUAUUGUUUUUAAUUGUUCUUUUUUUUUUGUUUCUUUUGUAUUUUGUUUUCUGUGUUUUCCUUUUCUUUUUGGAUUAUGUAUUGUGUAUUUUUGUACUUCUACUUUUAUGUUUUUCUGUUUAACUUUUUAUUGAAACCUUAAUAAAAAUCAUUUAAAAAACAAAAACAAAAACUAAGCCCUGCUGGUUAGAGCAACUAAGGACAAGGGGGCUGAGCACAAAAGUGCCAAGAUAAGUUUAGGGCUUAUAAUCUCCAAAUUGAGAACUACUUAGCCCUUAGCCCACAUGACCUUAGAAAUUGGAUUUUUUUAUCAGGAUGCCAACCAAGACAGAGCAUCCAUCACUGCUGCCCAUUGCUCUACUUGGUACCCCCAAAUUAAGACCUGUCACUUAAGGCCCCAUUGCCUUGAGACUCUGACCUUCCCACAACUAUGCAGGACCUUCGUAGAACUAAGAUUCCAACAGAUACCCUCAGCAUAAUUAGAGGGGAAUUCCCAAUAUGGAUCGCAAAUGUAGAUAUGGAUGCAAUCAGGUAGAGGACUUCACACACUAUCUGCUGAUUUGCAGAUACAACACCCAGAGGAAAAUUUAUUUUGCCAAUUUUUAAUUGACUUGCAGGUUGAUCCGCAAAGGAAGUGACAGUUGAACUCCAGGGGCGGGGGGGGGAGAAGAAAAGCAAAAUAGUAGCAUGGCUUCUUUUCAUUCUCUUUUUUAUAAUUUUUAUUAAAUUUUUUGUUUCACAAUUCAAAUACACAUUUUACAUCCUUAAGAUAUCAAUGACUUCCCUUCUUCUCUUUCUGUAGUUCAUUUUACUUAUCUUAAAUCUCCACAUAUUUUACAAAAACUCUACUAAUCGGUUUUCCAUUAUUGCAUCUAUCAAAACAUUUGCGCUGUUGAGUUUAUCUUAAUGCUGCUAACAUUUUCAGCUGUACACAAUUAUUUUCCAUAUAUUCAAUACAUGUUUUCCAAUCUUCUUUAAGCAUGUGUUCUUCUUGUUCUCUUAUUCUAUAUGUGAAGUCUGCAAGUUGUGCAUAUUAUGUCAACUUAAGUUGCCAUUCUUCUUUGGUUGGGACCUUGCUCAUUUUUCUAUUUUGGGGCUAACAAAACACGAGCCGCAUAAAUAACCUUUUCUGACACCUGGGGAUUUCAGUCUGAAUUAUCCCCAACAGAAAGGACUCUGGGUUUUUUAGGAAAGAACCUUUAAACAUUUUUUUCAAUUCAUUAUAGACCAUUUCCCAAUCCUCUUUUACAUGUCUACCACGUAUGAAAGAAUGUUCCCUCCGUCUCUUUAAAAUUCCACUUUUGUUUAUUCUCAAUCAUAUGCACUGCCCAAACGCCAUUAUUAUCUGAAAUGGUGGUAACAGCGUUAAGAGAUUUUGGAAGACUUUGACUCAAGGUCUUGACUUUCCAAAACAUACUUCUCCCUCCCGUAAAACAUAAUUCAUUUCAUGUCAAUCCUGAUUUUAUUUAUAUAUGUAUAUUCCACUUGUGCAUAUUAUACCUUGCAUAUAUUAUACUCACAGUGGUUUAUACCCAACAAACAGAAAUAUUAGGGUAGGAAAAAUCAAACCUAAAUUCACCUCAGUCCUGUGUGUGUCAACUCCAAAGUAAGGCCCACUGAAAUCAAUGGGACUCUCAGGUCAGUGUUUAUAGGAUUACAGCCACCGUGUACAUAUAACAAGAAUGGCGGACCUGUGACCUACACUUCCAAUGUUGUUGGACUAACUGCCCUCAUCCACAGCCAGCCUGGUCAAUGGUCAGGGAUGCUGAAAACUGUAUUCUAGCCAUCUCUGAAGGGCUACAGGUUCCCCACCUCUAUAAUAUAUCAAUACAAAUAAUAUAAAACUUCAUAAUAAAGAGUACAGCAUUUCAAUAUUUAUGAAAAAUUCUCAUUAAACGAUUCAACAAAGCCUAGUUAAGCAUAGGAUCAAUCAGACCCAUAAGCGAAGGGCCAUAGCUCAGUGAUAAAUCACAUAUCUUGCACGCAGAAGGUCUUAACGUUCAAUCCCCACCAUCUCUAUGUAGGGCUGGGGAAAUCUCCCUACCUGAAACCCUGGACAGUCACUGCCAGUCAGUGUAGACAAUAUUGAACUAGCUGGACCAUUGUUCUGAGUCAGUAUAUGGACGUUUCCUAUGUUCCGAGCAAGAUCAAUCAUACAGCAGGCCAACUGAUAAUUACUAGAUCAUAGCAGCAUCUCAAAAUCACUCAGUUAAAGCCUAAAGCAAAAAGAUUUGCCAAUAUAGCAAGAAGUACAUGCAGAUUACAAUAACAGUUUGUAAAUACAUAAACGUAAAAGCAAAACAUUGGGUUCCGCAGGUGGCGCUGUGGGUUAAACCACAGAGCCUAGGACAUGCCGAUCGGUGGUUCGAAUCCCCGAGACGGGGUGAGCUCCUGUUGCUCGGUCCCUGCUCCUGCCAACCUAGCAGUUCGAAAGCACGUCAAAGUGCAAGUAGAUAAAUAGGUACUACUCUGGCGGGAAGGUAAACGGCUCAGUCAUGCUGGCCAAUUGACCCGGAAGCUGUACGCCAGCUCCCUCGGCCAAUAAAGCGAGAUGAGCGCCGCAACCCCAGAGUCGGUCACGACUGGGCCUAAUGGUCAGGGGUCCCUUUACCUUUACCUUUACUAAAAGAAGAAGAAGAAGAAGAGUUUGGAUUUGAUAUCCCGCCUUUCACUCCCUUUAAGGAGUCUCAAAGCUGCUAACAUUCUCCUUUCCCUUCCUCCCCCACAACAAACACUCUGUGAGGUGAGUGGGGCUGAGAGACUUCAAAGAAGUGUGACUGGCCCAAGGUCACCCAGCAGCUGCAUGUGGAGGAGCGGAGACUCAAACCCGGUUCCCCAGAUUACGAGACUACCGCUCUUAACCACUACACCACACUGGCAAAACAUUAACAGCCUUAUAAAGCUAGACAAUAUAUCACAGACAAGUUAUGCCUAAAAGUUGCAGGACCGUGUACACAACCUCUGUUUACGCUUCCAGGCUGGUUAAAUGUAACAUCGUAUUCUAAUCUCCUUUGGUUCUAUUAUAGUCUUGGUUGUAGAAUCACUUAUCACCUCCAUCUGAAGUAGGCUCUUAAAUCUUUCACUUCCCACUAUUUACUUAGCCAGUUCUAAUCAAAACAAGGAUAUCUGCAUUCACACAUUGCUGCUAGGUCAGUUUGCAACUGAAAGUAACCUGGGGUUGAAUCAGCUUUAUUUCACAGUUGGGAUUAUCGAAAUCGUUCCCAGAUACAAUCAGUCUUGCCAUCGACACUCAGUGAAAUUAAUUAAGCUCCCCAUUUGUUUAAUGUGCUUUCUAAUUAACCUAGUCUGGAGAACAGCAAAACAACGUCCAGAUUCUGUGAGCCCUUUUAAAGUUUGGCACCAGGGAAAAGACAUUAGAGUCUCCAUAUAAUUAGCCCUCCUCCCCCAUCCGCUCUCCUAAUGGCUAAAUUAGAGGUCUUCCGCAUAGCAAUAGCUGCACCGUGUUUAAUAUUACAAUAAAAGCAUGCAUAGGAAGGAAUGCCAUCAAGUGCAACACCCAGAAACAUUAUUUCUUUAAUUAGGAUUGUAAUUGUGAUAUUUUUACUACUUUAUAGUGCAUUUGGGGCAACAGCUUCCCUGCCUGCAGGCUUCUCCUCCCAAUUCGAUGGAGCAGGGAGUUUCAACACAGUCAUGUGUCCCACUUUACAGAGGUCUGUCCUCUACUUGGAAGGGUGCCAAACGCCAGUCCUGUUAUUUAAAGCCCUCUUUCUUCAAAGGGCUCUCUUAGCAGUGGAACAGUGGUGAAUUAUGAAGUGUAGGAGCUCAUUGUGACACAGCUGCUAAAGCCACACUCACAAGGGCUGCAGAGUGUGCCAAAGACCUGCAGUUGUUGUUGUUGUUGUUGUUGUUGUUGUUGUUGUUGUUGUUGUUGUUACAGAUGACUGGGUUGCCCCAGCCACUCUGGGGUACAUAACGUACUUGUCAGGGAGGGACUGGAUGAGGAAGAGUGGUGGGCCUAGAGCCCCCCAGGGACGACACAGAAGAUGACUUAGCCCCAGAUCGUGGUGGAGGGACACUGGGGAGCAGUCGGGGGAAGGGGACGAGCUGGGAGGUGCUCGAAACAGGAGGUUUGAGCGAUCAAGGGGGGUCAGAAGAAGGAAGUCCUUUCAGGACAGGGCUGGAGGCUGAGAGUCUCAGUGUCAGCGCAGAGUCAGACAGGGAGGAGUCAGAGAUUGCCCCUGCUACCCAGUAGCAGGGCAGUCCCAGUCUUUCUAGAGGGGGACUCUGACACCUUGCUCCAGGAGAGUCCUUCACGUUGCUAAGCUACGGACCGGACAGGAAGAGCCCAUCUCCUCGCCACUUGGGAUGAAUCCCAAGGGAAAAGCUAGAGGGCAAAAGUUUGAGAGAUUUAUUGCAAGUGAAGUCUGCUAAUACAGUGGUACCUCGGGUUAAAAACUUAAUUCGUUCUCGAGGUCCGUUCUGAAACUGAAACUGUUCUUAACCUGAGGUACCACUUUAGCUAAUGGGGCCUCCCGCUGCCGCCACGCGAUUUCUGUUCUCAUCCUGAAGCAAAGUUCUUAACCCGAGGUACUAUUUCUGGGUUAGCGGAGUCUGUAACCUGAAGCGUCUGUAGCCUGAAGUACAUCUUGUGCCCACACACUUCCUCUGGCAUGAGCUUUGCAGAGUACGCAAUGUUGUUGGAAGUGAUUGAAGUCUGAACGCUGUCCUUCUGGACAAUGAAGGAAAAGACGUCUUGAAAGCUACAACUAGUGUUUAUUGUAGUAAACAGUAAUAAAGACAUAGAUUAGUAAAUACAAGUACAGAGUGUUAACAGCAUGUACACUCAGCAAACUGCCAUUAAACAAUCCCUCAUGCUCUCUAACCACCACAGACAGGCCAGACUCUCUCAGAAGAACACAGGCAUAUAUAUAUAGCUGCUCUGUUACAGUAUAACACUGAUUGGCUAAGCAGCGUUUUUUUAUAUGUGUCUAGAUUCCACCAUGCUUACAUUUCGCUAAGUUCCUGUUUGUGCAAGUGUUAGAAACUAAGUAGGUUGUCAGUGCCACUCUGUGCCUGUUUGAGUAAGCCUCUUUGACCUCAGUGGGACAUACUCCCAGGUAAGCAUAUAGAGGAUUGCAGCAGGUGUCUACAAGAUGCUUCAUAUAUCUGUGCUUUAAAGUGAACUUUAAACUGAUUUAGGUCUUAAUUCAAAUUUUGACCCAGGCCUCUUUUGCAUAGCUUGCUUCUCUGGGACACGGAGACCAAUUUAUCUUUCUCUAGCUUCCAAUAAAGCUCCUCCACUACUUUAGUUCUUUAUACUGUUCCUGACCGAAAAAGAAAAAGAAAAUCCUGCUUUUCAAGCACUGUACACAAAUUAAAUAUUCAUAUCCCUUAAAAGCAAUUAAAUUUACUGUCAAGUAAUUUGCAACUCUAAACAGCAAAUGUACAAAAAUAAUUAGCCUGGUUGAAAAUCAGUUAGUUUUCUGAUAAGCUCAUAAGCCCUUUUAAUUAAAAUCACAAUAUUCUUUUAAUUGCCAAAGGGAAUAUUUUGUUUAUAACAGAGGAACAUUCCUAAGUUUUAAUUUAAGUUUCACACUGAUAUUCCUGUAAUUGAGUAUCACCCUCUGGGGCCACGAAUACCCAUCUAGCAAAAUAAUGUGCUUCCCAUCAGUGCCAUAGAACGGCAUGCAUGAAAAUGGACCAUUCUGAAAAAAGAAGAAAAUAAAAGUUAUUAUAAUAGAUUGGGUCAUUGCUCGGGAGGAUUUCCAUGGAGUGCUGUUCAUAUUCAUUUAAGAGGUUUUCUUAUUUAGUCAAAAGGUUGCUUUGUUAUAGUUCAAUAAUCUGCUUUGAGUACAGUGGUACCUUGGUACUUGAACGGCUUGGCUUCCGAACAAAUCGUCUCCCAAACGCCGCAAACCUGGAAGUGAAUGUUCCGGUUUGCGAACAUUUUUCGGAAGCCAAAUGUCCGAUGAACAGACUCCACGAACGGAUUAAGAUUGAGAACCAAGGUACCACUAUACUUUUAAACAGUAGUUUGGAUAGGCUUUGCUCAGUCAGAACCUACAACUAAAAUCCUAAUGGUCUAUAAUCACAUCGAAGGCACCAGUUACAAACCAACAUUCCAUGGAACAUUUUUGCAGGUUUCAUGCCCUGAUGUGGAUUUUAGGAUUUUUCCUUAUGGACCAAUGUUACAGCUACCUUGACUUUAAGUACAGUGGUACCUCAGGUUUAGAACUUAAUUUGUUCCGGAGGUCAGUUCUUAACCUGAAACUGUUCUUAACCUGAAGCACCACUUUAGCUAAUGGGGCCUCCUGCUGCCACCGCGCCGCCGCUGCGAGAUUUCUGUUCUCAUCCUGAAGCAAAGUUCUUAACCCGAGGUACUACUUCCGGGUUAGGGGAGUCUGUAACCUGAAGCGUCUGUAACCUGAAGUGUCUGUAACCCGAGGUACCACUGUACAAGAGGUAAUGCAAACUAAACAGCCAACAUUCAGAUUUCGGGAUAGUCCGUUCUUGUGUUGCAAUCUUUUCUUAGCAAGAAAAAAAGCAAAAAGCAAAAAGAAAACUCACACUAUUCUAGGCUGCAUCAACAGAAGUCUAGUGUCCAGAUCAAGGGAAGUAAUAGUGCCACUCUAUUCUACCUUAGUCAGACCACACUUGGAAUACUGUGUCCAGUUCUGGGCACCAAAAUUGAAGAAGGAUAAUGACAAGCUGGAACGUGUGCAGAGGAGGACGACCAAGGUGAUCAAGGGUCUGGAAACCAAGCCUUAUGAGGAACGGUUGAAGGAGCUGCGUAUGUUGAGCUUGGAAAAGAUGAGACUGAGAGGAGCCAGGAUAGCCAUCUUCAAAUAUCUUAAGGGUUGCCACAUGGAAGAGGGAACAUGCUUGUUUGCUCCUGCUCUGGAAGGUAGGACUCAAAUCAAUAGCUUCAAGUUACAAGAAAGGAGUUUCCAAGGAAAUGUCAGGAAGAACUUUCUGACAGUAAGAGCUGUUUGACAGUGGAACAGUCUCCUUCAGGAGGUUGUGGACGCUCCUUCAUUGGAGAGUUUUAAGCAGAGGUUGGAUGGUCAUCUGUCCUGGAUGCUUUAGCUGAAAUUCCUGCAUUUCAGGGGGCUGGACUAGAUGACCCCUGGGCCCCUCCCAGCUCUAAGAUUCUAUGAUUCUUCUCUCUUCUUUCUCUUUUUCCUUUUUUUGUUUUGUUUUUGAGAGAACUGAAUCAUUUUGGUUUAGUUUCAUCUCAUUCACACUACACCACCCUUCCUGUGAUCUCACCCAACAAUGACCCCCCACUCCACACACACCUCUCCUGACAGAAACCUUUCCUUAUAUACUGACAGCCACGUGUUUAGAGAAUACAGGUCCCAAAACUAGACCUUUCCAUUUAUUACCUGUUGCUGGCAUUUUACCAGGAGUAAAGGAAUGAUGCGCUUCUUUCUAUAUGCAGUGUGUGAAAUAGUUAAUAUACUUUAAAAGCAUCACCGGUACGUUUGCAUUUUUAGAUUUGUGAGAGAGGUGUUGUUUACAACUUUGGCAACAGCGUAAAUGGGCAAGCUUUGCUGGAAAUGCAGAAGUUUGAAGGCCACAUUUUCCCCAAUAAUGUUUGAAAAAAUGUUUUCAAGAAGCUUGUUAGGAUGUUGAGCAGUCUUGGGAGCCUACCAAUGAUUUAUUUACAUCUCUAUUCUUGUUUUGUCAACAUGGACAUGGUCAUGAAGCUCUGUGGUUACUGCUAUGUUUUGUUUGGUUUUAUUGAGUCAUCUAAUAUAAAGUACACCAUGUUUGUUCCAGGAUUAAAAACCUUAUCUGCAGUCUCUAUUUUUGAGAACUGUUUUGCCGUUUUCCUGCUAUACAUAUUCCAAUUUGUCUCUCCUCAGGCUGUUAAACCCUCAAAGGACAGAGCCAGAGAAUUUAAAGGUCCAGUUCCUAAUUUUAAAAAGCACUGGGCAUUCAACCAUUGAUAGAGGACAUGGAAGACUUUUGGAUCUGGAUAGAUGUGAUCACAUUUUCAAGAAUACAUGUUUCAGUCAGAAAAAGGCAAGGAUAGCUGUAAGCCCAUCAGUCCAGUCAGAGAUGGCCCAAGACAUUUUCCUACCUGAGAUGAGGGUGAAGGGGGUGUUUUUUUCCCCCAUUCCACAUACGGAAGCAAACCAGACUGGAAGUUUCAAUGCUGCCAAUGGGGUAUGAAUCCAUACCCUCCAACAUUUCUCUGAUGAAAAUAGGGUUGUCCCAUAAUGAUAAUUUUACUACAGUGGUACCUUGGGUUACAGACGCUUCAGGUUACAGACUCCACUAAUCCAGAAGUAGUACCUCAGGUUAAGAACUUUGCUUCAGGAUGAGAACAGAUAUCAUGCCCUGGCAGCACGGCAGCAGUAGGAAGCCCCAUUAGCUAAAGUGGUACCUCAGGUUAAGAACAGUUUCGGGUUAAGAACGGACCUCCAGAACGAAUUAAGUUCUUAACCUGAAGUACCACUGUAUUUAUACCUCUUAUUGGUGUGCCCCAGCCAUUCUGGGCAGCUUCCAAGAUAUAUAAAAACAUAAUAAAACCUUUAUUUCUUUUUUAAAAACCUCCCCUAGACAGAUUCUCUUCAGAUGGCUCAGAGCUCUGAUAACUCCGUACCCUCCAACAUUUCUCCAAUGAAAAUAGGGGCGUCCUAAGCAAAAGUGGAACAUUUCAGGAUCAAAUCAGGGACAUCCCUAGAAAAUAGGGACACUUGGAAGGCCUAGCAUUCUAGCUUGGAGGGUACAGGGAGGGCUAAGUAGCCACACACAAUUUGCAAAUGGAUUUUUUUCUUGAAGCAAGCAUGGAAACGAGUACAGUGGAACCUCGGUUUUUAAACGUAAUCCAUUCCAGAAGUCGGUUCGAAUUCCGAAACGUUCGAAAACCGAAAGCUCAAUACGGAAGCCUCAAAACAGAAAAAUUAAUACGAAAAACUCAAUAUGGAAGCCGCCUCAGAAGUUCGACUUCUGAGGUAUGUUCGAAAACAGAAGCAUUUACUUCCGGGAUUACGGCGUUCAAGUGCCAAAUCGUUCGGAACUGUAUUAAGCUUGCGCUACAUUCCAUUAUAAUUCCAGAAAUGGCUUUUGCAUCGCAUGAAAGCUAAAAUCUCAUGCAGAACUUAACAGGGGGAAAGUCAUGAACACAGAAAAAACUGCUAUUUGAAAGCAACCGUGGUCAGUUCGUGAAGCACCACAAAAACUGGCAAAACAGGGACUAUAUUAAAGUAACUGUGUAUAACACAAGCAAAAAAAUAAAAAGCUGUACUUUUAACCCUGUGGAAAAAAAGAUCUAUCAUCUCUCUACAGCCUGGAAUUAUUCUUGCUCUCUUACUUUUCUUAGCUCCUCAAGAGAAACAAAAUGGCUGGUCAGCCACUGCUGGAAACAUUUCUUAUACAAACAGAAUUACGAAAAUAGAUACAUGAAAUGGAAGGCUAAGCUUCAUAAGCCAGCAGUCUUAACUGCAUGUUCCUUCUGGGAUAAUCUGUUUAAUAUUUCUGAUAAGGUAAUCCUUUCUUCUCCCUUCCACUUGAAAUAUGUCCAACUUCAUAUAUCAUUAGACAUUGCUGAGGCCUCGUCUCUCUAACGGACACUUGGUGACACUAAUUCAACAUCCUUUUGGCUCCAGCCAUGACAGCUUUAGCUCAAUCUAUGAAUGAGUUCUUGAUCGCUUCAAAGGUGUAAAUAAUUCUUAAAAUUAAAUUUGUUGUGUUUGUCUUACUACUCAGUGCAGUGGUACCUUGGUUCUCAAACGCCUUCGUAGUCAAAGGUCUUGGUUCUCAAACAGCAAAAACCUGGAAGUACCGUAUUUUUCGCCCUAUAGGACGCACUUUUCCCCCUCCAAAAAUGAAGGGGAAAUGUGUGUGCGUCCUAUGGAGCGAAUGCAGGCUUUCACUGAAGCCUGGAGAGUGAGAGGGGUCGGUGCGCACCGACCCCUCUCGCUCUCCAGGCUUCAGGAAGCUAUCCUCAAGCUGUGGGAGAGCUGCCUGUUCUGGGGGCUGGGGUCGGGGGAAGCUCGGGCUUCCCCUGCCCCAGCCCCGCGCCUGGGGGGGGGGAAUUAAAAAUUUUUUAUUUCCCCCCAAAAAAACUAGGUGCACCCUAUGGGCCGGUGCGCCCUAUGGGACGAAAAAUACGGUAAGUGUUCCAGUUUUUGAACGUUUUUAGGGAGCCGAACGUCCGGUGUGGUUGUCAACUAUUGUUUCUCGGGCACCUGCACCAAUCAGAAGCUGCGCCUUGGUUUUCGAACAUUUCGAAAGUAAAACGGACUUACGGAACGGAUUAAGUUUGGCGCUUUUGUUUUUGCUAUUUAUUUUGCGUUUUGGUUUUUGAGCCUUUUUCGGUUAAUUUGUUUUUGUGACUGUGUGGAACCCAGUUCAGCUACUGAUUGAUUGAUUGAUUGAUUGGGUGACUGGAAAUGGAUAAAAGCCGCCCCCGCCCCCAUCCAAACAGUGACUUCCAAACAAUGAAGCUUUUAAUGUUUGACGGACUAUUGUAUUUUAAUAUUUUGUUGGAAGCCACCCAGAGUGGCUGGGGAAACCCAGACAGAUGGGUGGGGUAUAAAUAUUAAAUUAUCAUCAUCAUCAUCAUCAUCAGCGAAGGUAAGGGGAAAAAAUACUUUAAAUUUUUAUCAUCUACAAUACUGUCUUAUUUAUUUUAUAGUACAGUACAUUGAUUAUUGCUUUCAUUUUAUGGAUCAAUGGUCUCGUUAGAUAGAAAAAAUCAUGUUAAAUUGCUGUUUUAGGGGUUGUUUUUAAAAGUCUGGAACAGAUCCAUUUUGCAUUACUUUCUAUGGGAAAGUGCGCCUUGGUUUUGGAACGCUUUGGCUUUGGAACGGACUUCCGGAAUGGUUAAGUUUGAGAACCAAGGUACCACGUAUUUAGUCUGAAAUGAAAGGAAGCUCUGCAAAGCACACGGGUUUCAUACAAAUUUAAAUCUUGGGUCAGCAUCCACAGCUGGAUUCAGCAUCUAGUGGUUAUUUAUUACUGUUUUCACUUCCGGCUUGCACCUGCACUUAGAAAAACCCAGAAGUCCAUUGUGGAUGUUCAAAUAGCAAUCUCCCCCAGGCACACCUAAGAUAGGACUAAACAACAAUAUUUAUUCAACAAAUGAGAAAACUGGUAGCAUAGGCAAAAUGACAAAAGUAUCUCCAAAAUCAAAACAUUCCAUCUCCUCUCAAGGUCUAGAUGUGCUGGUGAAAGAUUCUGCCAGAGUACCGCUGCGCAACUGGUCCUUCAGGGGCACAGUUACCCCAUGCAGGACCAGGGUGUCCUCCACAUCUGCCCACCCCAUCUCCCCAAAACAGUACUUCUGUCUUGUCAGGAUUCAACCUCGAUCUGUUAGCUGCCGUCCAUCCUCCAACCACCUUCAGACACUCACACAGGACCUUCACUGCCCUCACUGGUUCUGAUUUUAAAGAGAGGUAGAGCUGGGUAUCACCUGCAUACUGAUGAACACCCAGCCCAAACCCCCUGAUGAUCUCUCUCAGUGGCUUCUUGUCGAUGUUAAAAAGCAUGGGGGAGAGGACGGAACCCUGAGGCACCCCACAAGUGAGAGCCCAGGGGUCCGAACACUCAUCCCCCAACACCCCUUUCCAGACAUGGCCCAGGAGGAAGGAGCGGAACCACUGCAUAACUGUGCCCCCCUUUUUGCAUGGUAAAAUGACAAAUUUUAUGGCCCAUUUUAGAGCUGUGCGAUUUCCCCAUUAUUGGCCAAAAUCGGUUUUGAAAUCACACCGCGAUAACGAUUUUGACCCAGCAAUAGGCAGCAAUAUUUCACUCCUCGCACGAGGGAGAGCAGGGCAGCUGAUUUCAAGGCACUGCCAAUAUCGCACGGUGAUCUCAGCCGAUAUCGCUGCUGAUAUGAGCUGCCUUCCAUCACGCUGAGGGAAAACAGGGCAUCCGAUUGUGAGGCGCUGUCUUCCCCUUACGCUAAUGGAGAACAGGGAAGCUGAUCAUCCUCUCUUCAAGGCACCAUGGCACUACCUUCUUCUGGCACUGAGGCAGAGAAGAUUUUCUCAGCAGGAAAGCAGCAGCAGCAGCCACAGUAGAUCUUUGCUGGCUGCCCCGCUGACAGUGGCUUGACGCACACACCCCCAAUCCCCUUCAAUUUCAGGCAUUGUGAUAUCUCGGAAUAUCGUGAUGUUUAGCCGCUGAUAUAUCACAAUGUUGGAAACCAGAAAUCACUCACCCCUGGGCUGUUGUUUAGUAUACCCAAAAUCCUUUGCUUAUUAGGGGCUACCCAACAUUUUGUUCAAAAAAUUGCUUUGUAGAGGUAACUACCGCAGAGUUGUCAACAUUUUCAAAAGUAGGGGGUCCGUGGCUUGGCUUUUGAAAAAUAGGGGGUCCUCAGUAAUCAGCUAAUUGGGAGCCCCUGUGCUUGAUGGUCCUCCAUGUCCCUUCCAACUCUGCAGUUCUAUGAUUCUGUGAUUUUAUGCUCCAGCAGGUGGCAGCAGAUAAUUUGGGUGUGUUAUGAAUGCCUCAGGCAUCCCAUGGCAGCAGCAAAUUUGUAUUCCAAUCAGCUGGUGGCAUAUGUCAGGGGUCAGCAAACUUUUUCAGCAGGGUCCACUGUCCCUCAGACCUUGUGGGGGGCCAGACUAUAUUGGGGGGGGAUGAACGAAUUCCUAUGCGCCACAAAUAACCCAGAGAUGCAUAAAAUAAAUGGACACAUUCUACUCAUGUUAAAACAUCAGGCAGGCCCCACAAAUAAUCCAGAGAUGCAUUUUAAAUAAAAGGACACAUUCUACUCAUGUAAAAAGAUGCUGAUUCCUAGACUGUCUGCGGGCCGGAUUUAGAAGGCGACUGAGGCGGAUCUGGCCCCCGGGCCUUCGUUUGCCUACCCAUGGCAUACGUUCUGUGGUCUCUGAAGCAUCAGCCAAUCGGAAAAGCAAGCAAGAUCCUGUCUGUCCAUGUGGCCCAUGAACCAUCCAUCCUAAUAGUGAUUUUGGCCUGGAGGAAGGAACCUGCUUAUUCACAAUUUCACCCUGCGGUCUUCACUACGAAAGUGGGCAAAUCUCUGCUGCAAGCACUCAGAAGAGCAACAGUUCAGCUCAGAUCCACAAGAGAGGAGAGUGGUUUCUGGUCUUAAUCUGUUUUGCCUCACCAGAGUUGCGUGUCUGUGUUCCCAGUGCCACUACUGCCCAGGAGGAAACAGGCUCCUACUGGUUGUUUUUUUACUUCCUAAGGGUGGCUGGGGAGGACGACUGACCCAGUACCUGCUUGUUGGUUAAUGUCUUGUUGUUGGCAUCCGUCUGCCUCGAGAGACAAUGGAGUGCGCCUCUGGAGGUGAAGUCAAAUUGCUGCAUUAGCAGCAACGAAACGACCUCCCUAGGGUGCAAACCUGGGCAGAGUGUAUGGAGGUUCUGGGCUGCCAAGAUGAUAAGACCCCCCUCUCGGCUACACUGAUGUAGUCCAAAGAAAAGCAGAGCAAUACGUUUGGCACCAGCUUGGCUGCAGGAGUUGCUGGAAAGAGGCAUAGAAGACACCAUGCAACUGCCUUAAGGACUCCCACUUAGGGUUACCACCUUUGUUCUGGCCAAAUACAGGGCAGGGCAGUUGGGGGAUGAUUAUUAUUAUUUCAUCUGAUGCUGAAGUGACUUCAAAGCAAUCCAUUAUGAUGUAUUGCAGCCUAACGGGCUGCCCCCUCUGGAAUUUCUCUCUCUCUCUCUCUCUCUCUCUCUCUCUCUCACACACACACACACUUGUAGAUCUGCCUCUGCUUGUCUACCCAGAGCUUAAAUACAUGAUCUUUCACACACCCUUUCAAACACAUGUGUUUGCAAGGGUCCCUAACUUGGCAGAAAGAGAGAGAAGAGAGAGAGACCUGAAAUACAGGACGUAGCAUUUUACAUUGAAAUACGGGAAAAUCCUGUAUUAUACAGGACAGGUGGCAACCCUAACUCCAGACUGAUUUACUCCUUAGCCUUUUCUUCUCCUGAAGACAUCUGUUAUUAGAAUUCUAAGGUCCCACAUAUAAAAUAAACGUUCAUAAAUGUACAAGGCAAACACAUACAUAAGUAUAUAAACCAUGUCUCUGAAAUAGUACAGGAGAGCAAUCCUGAAGCCAUUUGGACUCUCCCAAAUUGGCCUCAAAUAUUUCUCUGCAAGGAGGAAGGAAAUGGGAAAGUCUCUCCAUUGUCUUUUGCUUACCUGUAUUAAGGGCAUAUUUGUGUAUGAAUAGGGUAAACCUGUAACCUGGAUUCAGGAACCAAACAUAUUUACCAUCACAAAAGAGUGGCCAGGCUGCCCAGCUAAAGCAAUCAGUGUCCAUUAACAGAUAUCCUGGCAAACAGGAUUUCUGCUGUAGACCGCUUCCUGUGAUGUAUUUCUGCUGUAGGCUGCCCCCUUCUGUGAUGUAUGUAUGAUGUUUUGGGGGAUGGUCUUAGGCUAGAGGGAUGCAGGUGGCGCUGUGGUCUAAACCACUGAGCCUCUUGGGCUUGCCGAUCAGAAGGUUGGCGGUGAGCUCCUGUUGCUCGGUCCGUGCUCCUGCCAACCUAGCAGUUUGAAAUCAUGUCAAAGUGCAAGUGGAUAAAUAGGUACCACUCCGGUGGGUAGGUAAACAGCGUUUUCGUGCACUGCUCUGGUUUCGCCAGAAGCGGCUUUGUCAUGCUGGCCACAUGACCCAGAAAAACUGUCUGCGGACAAACGCUGGCUCCCUCGGCCAGAAAAGCGAAAUGAGCGCCGCAACCCCAGAGUCAUUCGUGACUGGACUUAACUGUCAGGGGUCCUUUACCUUUUUUACCUUAGGCUACAGGGUGGGCAAUUUCAAAAGUCUAUAUAAGGGCUUGCGCACCAUUGUUCUGGGUUCCUUCUCCCUCCUGCAUGUAGUGAGUGAGGCCCCUGCUGCAACAGUUUAAUAAAGAUCAGGCUUACUAGCUGCUUUGCUUCUCAAUAUUCUCUGGCUGGCGUCUGUUAUUUUCUCCUACCGAUGGGGAACCCACUUAAGGACUCUAUACUGGCUUUUGGAUAUCCCAUAAGGGAAAAGGAGGAAGUUUUUUCUAGAACACAUCCCACAAGGCAGCAGAGGUUUAGAAUCAGAGUUUUCCUUCUCCUAGAUGGGCUACCUUCCCAGGUUGACAAGCCCCAUCUGCCUCUCAUUUCCCUCUAUAGUACAAGCAGAGACCACCAGCUUGACUUCUGACAAUUCAGCACUAUGUUGCAGCUUUGUUCAACGUGCAGCUAUUGCCUCCUCAUGGAGCUGUAUCUUGAGUUUCUUUCAACAAGAGGGCACUACCAACCUCCAGCACCUGCCAUCUUCUGUUUUUCUCUACAGCUUUACGGUUGCACGUCACGAAAGCAAGUUCCCAUUCUGCACAAAUUCAGAAAUCCAUUCAGCACUGUCAAUUCUUCAUUGAACCUAAAGGCCUGGGAACAGUUUUGGACCAUUUCAUUUCGCAUCGCAUCGGGGCUUCUUCUGUGCAAUUCAUUUCUCAGUUGUAGGUCUACGCAUUGCUCGUGGUUUCUGUCUUGUCAAGGAACGAAACGUGAGAAUAAAGGUGGCUGAGAUGAAAUAGC
Molecule: long non-coding RNA, 20295 nt
Filed under: Podarcis lilfordi (Lilford's wall lizard)
Lineage: Eukaryota; Metazoa; Chordata; Lepidosauria; Squamata; Lacertidae
Source: RNAcentral